This 592-nucleotide ribosomal RNA is filed under the name Sphingobium yanoikuyae. Its description in RNAcentral is "bacterial SSU rRNA". It matches the Rfam family "Bacterial small subunit ribosomal RNA", at positions 191 to 800 of the family's 1533-position model. The record is from RNAcentral. Lineage: Bacteria; Pseudomonadati; Pseudomonadota; Alphaproteobacteria; Sphingomonadales; Sphingobiaceae.
UGACGUAAGUCCAAAGAUUUAUCGCCCAAGGAUGAGCCCGCGUAGAGAUUAGCUAGUUGGUGGGGUAAAGGCCCACCAAGGCGCACGAUCCUUAGCUGGUCUGAGAGGAUGAUCAGCCACACUGGGACUGAGACACGGCCCAGACUCCUACGGGAGGCAGCAGUAGGGAAUAUUGGACAAUGGGCGAAAGCCUGAUCCAGCAAUGCCGCGUGAGUGAUGAAGGCCUUAGGGUUGUAAAGCUCUUUUACCCGGGAUGAUAAUGACAGUACCGGGAGAAUAAGCUCCGGCUAACUCCGUGCCAGCAGCCGCGGUAAUACGGAGGGAGCUAGCGUUGUUCGGAAUUACUGGGCGUAAAGCGCACGUAGGCGGCUAUUCAAGUCAGAGGUGAAAGCCCGGGGCUCAACCCCGGAACUGCCUUUGAAACUAGNAUAGCUUGGAAUCCAGGAGANGUGAGUGGAAUUCCGAGUGUAGANGUGAAAUUCGUAGAUAUUCNGAAGAACACCAGUGGCGAAGGCNGCUCACUGNACUGGUAUUGACGCUGAGGUGCGAAAGCGUGGGGNACAAACAGGAUUAGAUACCCUGGUAGUCCCGC